Molecule: non-coding RNA, 383 nt
Organism: Tursiops truncatus (common bottlenose dolphin)
Lineage: Eukaryota; Metazoa; Chordata; Mammalia; Artiodactyla; Delphinidae
Source: Rfam
CAGAGCCCGCCAGCUGCUAAGCCAGGGCCACACCUGGGGGUGAUUUUAUGCCUCACCUCCAGUGGGCACCUUGGUCUCUUUGGGCUAAUCUCUGGCUCCUUUGCACUAACUCUUGCUCUCACCCAGCUAAUCCCUGUCUCGCCCUGGCUGCCCCAGAGGGCUGACCACUAACAGCCAACCCUACCCAUCUGGGGGCUCCAGCCUCCUGGCCUGGCUCUGACCUGCUCUGAAUUAACCCCUCCUUCACCUGACUAACUCCUACCCUCCUGAUCUGUUCCUUUCAGCGGAAACUAACGGCUUGUGGAUUUCUUUCUGACUAACAACAGGUCUAACCCGCCUCAGUCACUAUUACUAUUAACAGCUUGGAUGUCGGCAUGGCUGGG